RNAcentral lists this ribosomal RNA (434 nucleotides) under uncultured bacterium. RNAcentral describes it as "partial 16S ribosomal RNA". It matches the Rfam family "Bacterial small subunit ribosomal RNA", at positions 29 to 508 of the family's 1533-position model. The record is from RNAcentral.
AACGAACGCUGGCGGCAUGCCUAACACAUGCAAGUCGAACGAGACCUUCGGGUCUAGUGGCGCACGGGUGCGUAACGCGUGGGAACCUGCCCUUAGGUUCGGAAUAACUCCCCGAAAGGGGUGCUAAUACCGGAUAAUGUCUUCGGACCAAAGAUUUAUCGCCUUUGGAUGGGCCCGCGUUGGAUUAGCUAGUUGGUAGGGUAAAAGCCUACCAAGGCGACGAUCCAUAGCUGGUCUGAGAGGAUGAUCAGCCACACUGGGACUGAGACACGGCCCAGACUCCUACGGGAGGCAGCAGUGGGGAAGAGUGGACAAUGGGCGAAAGACUGAUCCAGCAAUGCCGCGUGAGGGAUGAAGGCCUUAGGGGUGUAAAGCUCUUUUACCCGGGAUGAUAAUGACAGUAACGGGAGAAUAAGCACCGGCUAACCCCGUGC